RNAcentral lists this ribosomal RNA (406 nucleotides) under uncultured bacterium. Its description in RNAcentral is "partial 16S ribosomal RNA". It matches the Rfam family "Bacterial small subunit ribosomal RNA", at positions 30 to 526 of the family's 1533-position model. The record is from RNAcentral.
AUUGAACGCUGGCGGCAGGCCUAACACAUGCAAGUCGAGCGAGCGGCGGACGGGUGUGUAAUGUCUGGGAAACUGCCUGAUGGAGGGGGAUAACUACUGGAAACGGUAGCUAAUACCGCAUACCCUCAGAUGUGCCCAGAUGGGAUUAGCUAGUAGGUGGGGUAACGGCUCACCUAUGCGACGCUCCCUAGCUGGUCUGAGAGGAUGACCAGCCACACUGGAACUGAGACACGGUACAGACUCCUACGGGAGGCAGCAGUGGGGAAUAUUGCACAAUGGGCGCAAGCCUGAUGCAGCCAUGCAGCGUGUGUGAAGAAGGCAUUCGGGUUGUAAAGCACUUUCAGCGGGGAGGCGUUACCCGCAGAAGAAGAACCGGCUAACUCCGUGCCAGCAGCCGCGGUAAUUC